AAAUGAAUAGACGGGGACCCGCACAAGCAGCGGAGCAUGUGGUUUAAUUCGAUGCAACGCGAAGAACCUUACCAGGGCUUGACAUAUAUGCGCUAGCACUAGAGAUAGUGGGUUCUCUUCGGAGACGUAUAUACAGGUGGUGCAUGGUUGUCGUCAGCUCGUGUCGUGAGAUGUUGGGUUAAGUCCCGCAACGAGCGCAACCCCUAUAUCUAGUUACCAGCAAGUAAAGUUGGGGACUCUAGAUAGACUGCCGGUGACAAACCGGAGGAAGGUGGGGAUGACGUCAAAUCAUCAUGCCCUUUAUGUCCUGGGCUACACACGUGCUACAAUGGCCGGUACAGAGGGAAGCGAAGUCGUGAGGCGAAGCGAAUCUCAGAAAGCCGGCCCCAGUUCGGAUUGUAGGCUGCAACUCGCCUACAUGAAGCCGGAGUUGCUAGUAAUCGCAAAUCAGCAUGUUGCGGUGAAUGCGUUCCCGGGUCUUGUACACACCGCCCGU
RNAcentral lists this ribosomal RNA (496 nucleotides) under uncultured bacterium. RNAcentral describes it as "bacterial SSU rRNA". It matches the Rfam family "Bacterial small subunit ribosomal RNA", at positions 903 to 1397 of the family's 1533-position model. The record is from RNAcentral.